AAAUAUCUGGCAUGUGCGAGGUGUGUGGGGAUGACAAUAUGGUUUGCUGGUGAGGCUUUCUUUCUCGCUUCCCGUGUCUAGUAGCAUAGUUGGCCAAUUCCACGUGACUUCCUAAUGGGGGUAUGCUGUAUAUAUAGCUGGGUUCUUGCCGUGCGUUUUUAUCGUGUGGUGUAAUGUUUGGUUCUGGUCCAGGUAGAGGGUUUGGUGUCGUAGUGUUAACGUAUAGGCUGAGUAUAGUCUGUAAAAGUAUCCUUACAUGGGUCUGUGCACUGGUUGGAUGUGGCCUGACUUUCUGAUAAUAUUGUGUGGUAUCGUGAAGUAUAUGCAAUGGUUCGGGUGUUUAAAUAGCGUCGGUUUCUCAGUAGAGUUUUUGUUAUGUGGGGGUUGGUUCGGGAUAAUAGCGAAGCCUAUUUGUGUUGCCUUCCUUCCUGUCUCUUGUUGGUGGCAAUUCAGUCAAUCUGUCAGUUAUUUUCCCCUGGCAGGGAUGUGUCGUCGGGGUAGCGGUAUGUCGUGUGAUUGCGUGUUGUCAUUCUCAGUCUGGGUCUGCCGGCGUUACGUGUUGU
Molecule: non-coding RNA, 563 nt
Organism: Pelobates cultripes (western spadefoot toad)
Lineage: Eukaryota; Metazoa; Chordata; Amphibia; Anura; Pelobatidae
Source: the annotation of a GenBank genome assembly